AAAUAUCUAAGUUACCGGUAUUUUAAUUAACUGUAUCAGAAUAUAAUCAAUAAAUGAGAUGUCAUUUAGGUGAACAAAUCAAUUAACAAAAACAAUAGACACUAGCUUCUAAAUUUUUACAGCUUUUUAUCUGCAACAAUUUCAGUAUCCGCCAAAAUUUUUCGUAAACCUUGUUGCCCCUAAAUCGCGAAAUUUUACACCCCCGAAUAGUAACCCGCUAUACGACAUUUAUUGUAACAAUGUAUGUAUGCACUGUAGUUUGAACACCAG
RNAcentral lists this long non-coding RNA (270 nucleotides) under Mytilus galloprovincialis (Mediterranean mussel). Lineage: Eukaryota; Metazoa; Mollusca; Bivalvia; Mytilida; Mytilidae. The record is from RNAcentral.